RNAcentral lists this ribosomal RNA (518 nucleotides) under Penicillium chrysogenum. RNAcentral's name for it is "eukaryotic LSU rRNA". The stretch from base 152 to 304 matches the Rfam family "5.8S ribosomal RNA". Lineage: Eukaryota; Fungi; Ascomycota; Eurotiomycetes; Eurotiales; Aspergillaceae. The record is from RNAcentral.
CCUCCCACCCGUGUUUAUUUUACCUUGUUGCUUCGGCGGGCCCGCCUUAACUGGCCGCCGGGGGGCUUACGCCCCCGGGCCCGCGCCCGCCGAAGACACCCUCGAACUCUGUCUGAAGAUUGUAGUCUGAGUGAAAAUAUAAAUUAUUUAAAACUUUCAACAACGGAUCUCUUGGUUCCGGCAUCGAUGAAGAACGCAGCGAAAUGCGAUACGUAAUGUGAAUUGCAAAUUCAGUGAAUCAUCGAGUCUUUGAACGCACAUUGCGCCCCCUGGUAUUCCGGGGGGCAUGCCUGUCCGAGCGUCAUUUCUGCCCUCAAGCACGGCUUGUGUGUUGGGCCCCGUCCUCCGAUCCCGGGGGACGGGCCCGAAAGGCAGCGGCGGCACCGCGUCCGGUCCUCGAGCGUAUGGGGCUUUGUCACCCGCUCUGUAGGCCCGGCCGGCGCUUGCCGAUCAACCCAAAUUUUUAUCCAGGUUGACCUCGGAUCAGGUAGGGAUACCCGCUGAACUUAAGCAUAUCA